Molecule: ribosomal RNA, 253 nt
Filed under: uncultured bacterium
Lineage: Bacteria
Description: partial 16S ribosomal RNA
Rfam family: Bacterial small subunit ribosomal RNA
Source: RNAcentral
UACGAAGGGGGCUAGCGUUGUUCGGAAUUACUGGGCGUAAAGCGCGCGCAGGCGGCUAUCCAAGUCAGUGGUGAAAUCCUGGAGCUCAACUCCAGAACUGCCUUCGAUACUGAGAGUCUCGAGUCCGGGAGAGGUGAGUGGAACUGCGAGUGUAGAGGUGAAAUUCGUAGAUAUUCGCAAGAACACCAGUGGCGAAGGCGGCUCACUGGCCCGGUACUGACGCUGAGGUGCGAAAGCGUGGGGAGCAAACAGG